Molecule: ribosomal RNA, 496 nt
Filed under: uncultured bacterium
Lineage: Bacteria
Description: partial 16S ribosomal RNA
Rfam family: Bacterial small subunit ribosomal RNA
Source: RNAcentral
GACGAACGCUGGCGGCGUGCCUAAUACAUGCAAGUAGAACGCUGAAGCGAGGAGCUUGCUCUUCUUGGAUGAGUUGCGAACGGGUGAGUAACGCGUAGGUAACCUGCCUUGUAGCGGGGGAUAACUAUUGGAAACGAUAGCUAAUACCGCAUAACAAUGGAUGACACAUGUCAUUUAUUUGAAAGGGGCAAUUGCUCCACUACAAGAUGGACCUGCGUUGUAUUAGCUAGUAGGUGAGGUAAUGGCUCACCUAGGCGACGAUACAUAGCCGACCUGAGAGGGUGAUCGGCCACACUGGGACUGAGACACGGCCCAGACUCCUACGGGAGGCAGCAGUAGGGAAUCUUCGGCAAUGGGGGCAACCCUGACCGAGCAACGCCGCGUGAGUGAAGAAGGUUUUCGGAUCGUAAAGCUCUGUUGUAAGUCAAGAACGGGUGUGAGAGUGGAAAGUUCACACUGUGACGGUAGCUUACCAGAAAGGGACGGCUAACUACGU